This 229-nucleotide ribosomal RNA is filed under the name uncultured bacterium. RNAcentral describes it as "partial 16S ribosomal RNA". It matches the Rfam family "Bacterial small subunit ribosomal RNA", at positions 568 to 796 of the family's 1533-position model. The record is from RNAcentral.
UGCGUAGGCGGACUAAUAAGUCAGUGGUGAAAUCUCUCGGCUCAACCGGGAAACUGCCAUUGAUACUGUUAGUCUUGAGUUCGGUUGAGGUAGGCGGAAUGUGUAAUGUAGCGGUGAAAUGCUUAGAUAUUACACAGAACACCAAUUGCGUAGGCAGCUUACUAGACCGACACUGACACUGAGGUACGAAAGCGUGGGGAGCGAACAGGAUUAGAUACCCUGGUAGUCC